This 384-nucleotide ribosomal RNA is filed under the name uncultured bacterium. RNAcentral describes it as "bacterial SSU rRNA". It matches the Rfam family "Bacterial small subunit ribosomal RNA", at positions 30 to 416 of the family's 1533-position model. The record is from RNAcentral.
AUUGAACGCUGGCGGCAUGCCUUACACAUGCAAGUCGAACGGCAGCGCGGGGCAACCUGGCGGCGAGUGGCGAACGGGUGAGUAAUAUAUCGGAACAUACCCUAGAGUGGGGGAUAACGUAGCGAAAGUUACGCUAAUACCGCAUACGCACUAAGGUGGAAAGUGGGGGAUCUUCGGACCUCAUGCUCAUGGAGUGGCCGAUAUCUGAUUAGCUAGUUGGUGAGGUAAAGGCUCACCAAGGCGACGAUCAGUAGCUGGUUUGAGAGAACGACCAGCCACACUGGAACUGAGACACGGUCCAGACUCCUACGGGAGGCAGCAGUGGGAAUUUUGGACAAUGGGGGCAACCCUGAGUCCAGCAAUGCCGCGUGAGUGAAGAAGGCC